AACGAACGCUGGCGGCGUGCCUAACACAUGCAAGUCGAACGAGAAAGUGACUUCGGUCACUGGACAGUGGCGUCCGGGUGAGUAACACGUGGGUAAUCUACCUUCGGGUGGGGAAUAACGUCUCGAAAGAGACGCUAAUACCGCAUAAUGCAGCGGCACCUUAUGGUGAAUAGUUGUUAAAGCGGGGGGAUCGCAAGACCUCGCGCCUGAAGAGGAGCCUGCGGCAGAUUAGCUUGUUGGUGAGGUAAUGGCUCACCAAGGCUGCGAUCUGUAGCUGGUCUGAGAGGAUGAUCAGCCACACUGGGACUGAGAUACGGCCCAGACUCCUACGGGAGGCAGCAGUGGGGAAUAUUGACAAUGGGGCAACCCUGACCCAGCAAUGCCGCGUGA
This 390-nucleotide ribosomal RNA is filed under the name uncultured bacterium. Its description in RNAcentral is "bacterial SSU rRNA". It matches the Rfam family "Bacterial small subunit ribosomal RNA", at positions 29 to 404 of the family's 1533-position model. The record is from RNAcentral.